GUUUAUAUAGUUUAUUUAAAACUUUACAUUUUCAUUGUAAUAAAAAAAUUUUAUAUUUUUAUAAAUU
RNAcentral lists this transfer RNA (67 nucleotides) under Prioneris thestylis. Its description in RNAcentral is "tRNA-Glu". The record is from RNAcentral. Lineage: Eukaryota; Metazoa; Arthropoda; Insecta; Lepidoptera; Pieridae.